Molecule: transfer RNA, 72 nt
Organism: Camelus ferus (Wild Bactrian camel)
Lineage: Eukaryota; Metazoa; Chordata; Mammalia; Artiodactyla; Camelidae
Rfam family: tRNA
About the family: Transfer RNA (tRNA) molecules are approximately 80 nucleotides in length. Their secondary structure includes four short double-helical elements and three loops (D, anti-codon, and T loops).
Source: Rfam
GGGGGUAUAGCUCAGUGGCAGAGUGUGUGCUUGGCAUACACGAGGUCCUAGGUUCGAUCCUCAGUGCCUCUG